CCUGCCCAAUGGUUGUAUCUAAAAACGGUUGAUAAAAGUCGACUUCAUAAGGACAAUUGAAUGGCCGCGGUAACACUGACCGUGAUAAUGUAGCGUAAUCAAUAGCCAAUUAAUUGUUGGCCAGUAUGAAUGGCGUCACGAAGGCCCCACUGUCUUAAGAGAAUUCCCAGUGAAAUUGAAUUCGUAGUGAAGAUGCUACGUCCAAUUUGUUAGACGAAAAGACCCCAUUGAGCUUUACUGGAGACUUUCAUUGCUCGGAUCGACUCUCGCCCCCCCCCUGUAGGGGGGGGGGGGGUCUAAUUUAAAUGGAUAGCUUAGAUUAUGUGGUGUCAUAACCAUCGAUCAAGUAGUCCCUACGGGAUUGCCCCGAAGGUUGACCUGUUUGGGUGAAUGAAACCCCACUCUUUUAUGUUAAAUGAGCUAACCCUUUCUUUCUUAAGGGGGACAAUGUAAGUUGGACAGUUUGGUUGGGGCGACCGCCUUUUAAAGAGUAACGAAGGUGUGCUUAAGGUACACAAUUAAUAUCAGUAGCCUGACUGCGAGGGGGAUUACCCCGAGCAGACACCUAAAGUCUUCUCUCUUCCCCCCGAAGGUUAAAGACGAAUGGUGG
This 610-nucleotide ribosomal RNA is filed under the name Epizoanthus beriber. RNAcentral's name for it is "partial large subunit ribosomal RNA". It matches the Rfam family "Bacterial large subunit ribosomal RNA", at positions 1858 to 2426 of the family's 2925-position model. The record is from RNAcentral. Lineage: Eukaryota; Metazoa; Cnidaria; Anthozoa; Zoantharia; Epizoanthidae.